CAGUAGCCGCGGUAAUACGAAGGGUGCAAGCGUUACUCGGAAUUACUGGGCGUAAAGCGCGCGUAGGUGGUGGUUUAAGUCCGUUGUGAAAGCCCUGGGCUCAACCUGGGAAUUGCAGUGGAUACUGGGUCACUAGAGUGUGGUAGAGGAUAGUGGAAUUUCCGGUGUAGCAGUGAAAUGCGUAGAGAUCGGAAGGAACAUCUGUGGCGAAGGCGACUAUCUGGGCCAACACUGACACUGAGGCACGAAAGCGUGGGGAGCAAACAGGAUUAGAUACCCCAGUAGUCCCUGUCUCUUAUAU
RNAcentral lists this ribosomal RNA (301 nucleotides) under uncultured bacterium. RNAcentral describes it as "partial 16S ribosomal RNA". It matches the Rfam family "Bacterial small subunit ribosomal RNA", at positions 509 to 809 of the family's 1533-position model. The record is from RNAcentral.